GAUGAACGCUGGCGGCGUGCCUAAUACAUGCAAGUCGAGCGAACAGACGAGGAGCUUGCUCCUCUGCCGUUAGCGGCUGACGGGUGAGUAACACGUGGAUAACCUACCUAUAAGACUUGGAUAACUUCGGGAAACCGGUGCUAAUACCGGAUAAUAUAUUGAACCGCAUGGUUCAAUAGUGAAUGACGGCUUUGCUGUCACUUUUAGAUGGAUCCGCGCCGCAUUAGCUAGUUGGUAAGGUAACGGCUUACCAAGGCGACGAUGCGUAGCCGACCUGAGAGGGUAAUCGGCCAAACUGGAAUUGAGACACGGUCCAGACUCCUACGGGAGGAAGCAGUAGGGAAUCUUCCGCAAUGGGGGAAAGCCUAACGGAGCAACGCGGGGUGAGUGAUGAAGGUCUUCGGAUCGUAAAACUCUGUGAUUAGGAAAGAAAAAAUGUGUAAGUAACUAUGCAGGUCUUGACGGUACCUAAUCAGAAAGCCACGGCUAACUACGU
Molecule: ribosomal RNA, 496 nt
Filed under: uncultured bacterium
Lineage: Bacteria
Description: partial 16S ribosomal RNA
Rfam family: Bacterial small subunit ribosomal RNA
Source: RNAcentral